RNAcentral lists this non-coding RNA (102 nucleotides) under Sphingomonadales bacterium EhC05. RNAcentral describes it as "Glycine riboswitch aptamer". It matches the Rfam family "Glycine riboswitch aptamer". From Rfam's summary of the family: This family represents the bacterial glycine riboswitch. Glycine riboswitches usually consist of two metabolite-binding aptamers domains with similar structures in tandem. The aptamers cooperatively bind glycine to regulate the expression of downstream genes. The record is from Rfam by way of RNAcentral. Lineage: Bacteria; Pseudomonadati; Pseudomonadota; Alphaproteobacteria; Sphingomonadales. RNAcentral also lists the same sequence under 1 other name.
UGAGGCGUUGCGGGAGAGCGUUUUUCUAUCCCACCAGAUGUUAAAGCCGCCGAAGGAGCAACCGCCCCGGAAACUCUCAGGCCACUGGACCGCAACCGCUUC